RNAcentral lists this transfer RNA (76 nucleotides) under Salmonella sp. FORC89. Its description in RNAcentral is "tRNA-Phe". Lineage: Bacteria; Pseudomonadati; Pseudomonadota; Gammaproteobacteria; Enterobacterales; Enterobacteriaceae. The record is from RNAcentral.
UCGAUACGAUCGAUGAUUAUGAUCGUAAUUUAAGAAUAAUCAUCAAAGAAAUACUUUUUAAUGUAAUUAUAAGCGG